GGCCGCAGUAUUUUGACUGUGCAAAGGUAGCAUAAUCAUUAGUCUUUUAAUUGAAGGCUGGUAUGAAUGGUUGGAUGAGGUGAAUUCUGUUUUAUAUUAAUUAUAAUUGAAUUUAGAUUUUAAGUAAAAAGACUUAAAUGUAAUUAAGGGACGAGAAGACCCUAUAGAGUUUUAUAAGUGUAGUAAAUUAAUUAGGUUAUUUAAAAAUUUUUUGUUAUUAUGAAAUUUAUUUGAUUGGGGUGAUUAGAAAAUAUAAAGAACUUUUCUUUAAAUUAAAUAUUAUAAUUAGUUUAAUGAUCCAUAAUUAAUGAUUAAAAGAUUAAAUUACCUUAGGGAUAACAGCAUAA
RNAcentral lists this ribosomal RNA (347 nucleotides) under Chrysomantis sp. MN005. RNAcentral's name for it is "partial 16S ribosomal RNA". The record is from RNAcentral. Lineage: Eukaryota; Metazoa; Arthropoda; Insecta; Mantodea; Hymenopodidae.